Molecule: ribosomal RNA, 497 nt
Filed under: uncultured bacterium
Lineage: Bacteria
Description: partial 16S ribosomal RNA
Rfam family: Bacterial small subunit ribosomal RNA
Source: RNAcentral
GAUGAACGCUGGCGGCGUGCCUAAUACAUGCAAGUCGAGCGAACAGACGAGGAGCUUGCUCCUCUGACGUUAGCGGCGGACGGGUGAGUAACACGUGGAUAACCUACCUAUAAGACUGGGAUAACUUCGGGAAACCGGAGCUAAUCCCGGAUAAUAUAUUGAACCGCAUGGUUCAAUAGUGAAAGACGGUUUUGCUGUCACUUAUAGAUGGAUCCGCGCCGCAUUAGCUAGUUGGUAAGGUAACGGCUUACCAAGGCAACGAUGCGUAGCCGACCUGAGAGAGUGAUCGGCCACACUGGAGCGGAGACACGGUCCAGACUCCUACGGGAGGCAGCAGUAGGGAAUCUUCCGCAAUGGGCGAAAGCUUGGCGGAGCAACGCCGCGUGAGUUAUGAAGGUCUUCGGAUCGUAAAACUCUGUUAUUAGGGAAGAACAAAUGUGUAAGUAACUAUGCACGUCUUGACGGUACCGAAUCAGAAAGCCACGGCUAACUACGUG